RNAcentral lists this ribosomal RNA (410 nucleotides) under uncultured bacterium. RNAcentral describes it as "bacterial SSU rRNA". It matches the Rfam family "Bacterial small subunit ribosomal RNA", at positions 28 to 420 of the family's 1533-position model. The record is from RNAcentral.
GAUGAACGCUGGCGGCGUGCUUAACACAUGCAAGUCGAGCGAAGCACUAAAGCGGAUUUCUUCGGAUUGAAGGUUUAGUGACUGAGCGGCGGACGGGUGAGUAACGCGUGGGUAACCUGCCUCAUACAGGGGGAUAACAGUUGGAAACGGCUGCUAAUACCGCAUAAGCGCACAGUACCGCAUGGUACGGUGUGAAAAACUCCGGUGGUAUGAGAUGGACCCGCGUCUGAUUAGGUAGUUGGUGGGGUAACGGCCUACCAAGCCGACGAUCAGUAGCCGACCUGAGAGGGUGACCGGCCACAUUGGGACUGAGACACGGCCCAAACUCCUACGGGAGGCAGCAGUGGGGAAUAUUGCACAAUGGGGGAAACCCUGAUGCAGCGACGCCGCGUGAGCGAAGAAGUAUUUCG